AGAACGAACGCUGGCGGCAUGCCUAAUACAUGCAAGUCGAACGAACACUUCGGUGUUAGUGGCGCACGGGUGCGUAACGCGUGGGAAUCUGCCCUUGGGUUCGGAAUAACAGUUGGAAACGACUGCUAAUACCGGAUGAUAUCGAAAGAUCAAAGAUUUAUCGCCCAGGGAUGAGCCCGCGUAGGAUUAGCUAGUUGGUGAGGUAAAGGCUCACCAAGGCGACGAUCCUUAGCUGGUCUGAGAGGAUGAUCAGCCACACUGGGACUGAGACACGGCCCAGACUCCUACGGGAGGCAGCAGUAGGGAAUAUGGACAAUGGGCGCAAGCCUGAUCCAGCAAUGCCGCGUGAGUGAUGAAGGCCUUAGGGUUGUAAAGCUCUUUUACCCGAGAUGAUAAUGACAGUAUCGGAAGAAUAAGCCCCGGCUAACUCCGUGCCAGCCAGCCGC
Molecule: ribosomal RNA, 446 nt
Filed under: uncultured soil bacterium
Lineage: Bacteria
Description: bacterial SSU rRNA
Rfam family: Bacterial small subunit ribosomal RNA
Source: RNAcentral